This is a non-coding RNA of Calypte anna (Anna's hummingbird), 73 nucleotides long. Lineage: Eukaryota; Metazoa; Chordata; Aves; Apodiformes; Trochilidae. The record is from Rfam.
GCCCAGCUAGCUCAGUCAGUAGAGCACGGGACCCUUAAUCCCAGAGUUGUGGGUUCGAGCCCCACGUUGGGCA